GACGAACGCUGGCGGCGUGCUUAACACAUGCAAGUCGAACGGAAAGGCCCUGCUUUUGUGGGGUGCUCGAGUGGCGAACGGGUGAGUAACACGUGAGUAACCUGCCCUUGACUUUGGGAUAACUUCAGGAAACUGGGGCUAAUACCGGAUAGGAGCCCCUGCUGCAUGGUGGGGGUUGGAAAGUUUCGGCGGUUGGGGAUGGACUCGCGGCUUAUCAGCUUGUUGGUGGGGUAGUGGCUUACCAAGGCUUUGACGGGUAGCCGGCCUGAGAGGGUGACCGGCCACAUUGGGACUGAGAUACGGCCCAGACUCCUACGGGAGGCAGCAGUGGGGAAUAUUGCACAAUGGGCGGAAGCCUGAUGCAGCAACGCCGCGUGCGGGAUGACGGCCUUCGGGUUGUAAACCGCUUUCGCCUGUGACGAAGCGUGAGUGACGGUAAUGGGUAAAGAAGCACCGGCUAACUACGUGC
Molecule: ribosomal RNA, 469 nt
Filed under: uncultured bacterium
Lineage: Bacteria
Description: partial 16S ribosomal RNA
Rfam family: Bacterial small subunit ribosomal RNA
Source: RNAcentral